GAAACACAAGCCCAUUGAAAAUGGAGUGACACAAACCGUAAGACAACACGUCUUAAACCAAAAUUAUAAGAUAUUAGUUUCAUGAGUUUUUCCUACUUAUAAACUCAUUUUACUCCUCCCCGCAUAUCCAAUGUGGGACUUCACACUUGAAUAAACCCAACAAUUUAACUUACCGAAAGGUCAAAUUUUAGUUGCAAAAGGGAUUAUAUACACAGAUUAUAUAUAUGCUUCAUUGUAUCUUGCCUUCACCUUAAACAAUGAUCCACAAAAUAAAUUAUAAAGAGAUAUUCAUGCACUCAUUUUAUUAUGUACAAGAUACCCUUUUUUUUAUUCAGAUGGAAUCAAUAGCAGAAUUUGAGUCUAGCCAAACUUUCUGUCUAAUGAAAUCAUGAUUUCUUGAUAAACAAGUAGGAGGGUACACCAAACCCCUAGUUGAACCAUGAGCUUGCCAGCAAUAAGAGCUUGUAUUUCCUCCCAUGCAUGAUUCAAGGAAAAUAUUCUUCAGGUAUAAACCUUCACAUGGUGAGGAAUCACUGCAAGCAAAUUUAAUUGCUUCUUCUGUGGCUGAAGUUCCUUUAAUAUCAAUGAAGGAUAUAUUCUCCACUCUCACAGCUGAAGUCUGCAUUUUUAUUUAGGAUGUUACAAAUCAGCUAUUUUGUAUUCUCUUACUACUAAAUAAAUAGUGAAUGUAUGAAAUGAAAAAGUAUAUAUAUUCAAUGGGAAUAUAAAAACAUUAGAAAUUGUAGAACUAAGAUAUGGACAUGGUCUGUUUGAUUUUGGAGGGAAAUGAAAGCCUUUAGAGCCAUGAAAUACAUUUGCGAGAUGACUGUGAAACAUUCCUUCCCCACCAAAACCAAACUCGCAAAUGGAAUUAGGGUUAGUUUGUGAGUUUGGUUUUGGAAGGGAAAGGGUUCAGAACCAUGAAAUACACUUAUCAGGUGACUCUUAAGUCUUCCUUUUCUAUUCCUUCCCAUCCAAAACUUAACUCGCAAACAGACUCAAGGUUUGUUUGCGAGUAAUAGAGGGAAAGAAAAACUUGGAAGCCAUAAAACACACUUAUGAGAUAAAUCUGAACUCUUCCAUUUCUCUUCUUUCUCAUUUUAAACUCAACUCGCAGACGGAUUCUAACUAAGCAAAAUAAACAAUUUAAACUAUAGGCAUCACUCAUCAUGCAGACAGGUUUACUACUUCUAGAGUAAACUAGAAGCUGAGACCAACCAGGAGAAAAGAUUUAAGAAUGAAUUGCAGAAUGAGACACACAACUACACAAACUUUCCCAAAAGAAUGAUUCUGCAUUGUUGUCACACAUAAAAUUGAAGUCUUAAACCUCUGAAAAUUCCAUACCUGGUUGUCACAUGGAUGCUUAGAAUCACAGUAGUAUUGGUCUAUUAUUAUUGGAUUUGACACAUUUUCCAUCACAAUAUUCUGGAAUGUGAUCUUGGAUGCAAAACCUUGCCCACCCUAACAAAAAUUUGAGGCAAGUCAAUGGAAUUGUGUAUUGCUGUGUGACAUUUAGAGAGAAACAAAGAUACAAUUUUGUCAAGAAAUUUACCUGCCAUGUUUUAACUUACCGAAAGGUCAAAUUUUAGUUGCAAAAGGGAUUAUAUACACAGAUUAUAUAUAUGCUUCAUUG
RNAcentral lists this long non-coding RNA (1633 nucleotides) under Lupinus angustifolius (narrow-leaved blue lupine). RNAcentral's name for it is "long non-coding RNA (LANG_LNC001147)". Lineage: Eukaryota; Viridiplantae; Streptophyta; Magnoliopsida; Fabales; Fabaceae. The record is from RNAcentral.